UCUAAUACCGGAUACUGAUCCGCUUGGGCAUCCAGGCGGUUCGAAAGCUCCGGCGGUGCAGGAUGAGCCCGCGGCCUAUCAGCUUGUUGGUGAGGUAGUGGCUCACCAAGGCGACGACGGG
This 121-nucleotide ribosomal RNA is filed under the name Streptomyces ambofaciens. RNAcentral's name for it is "partial 16S rRNA". It matches the Rfam family "Bacterial small subunit ribosomal RNA", at positions 162 to 283 of the family's 1533-position model. Lineage: Bacteria; Bacillati; Actinomycetota; Actinomycetes; Kitasatosporales; Streptomycetaceae. The record is from RNAcentral.